GGUCAAGCGAACAAGUGCAUGUGGUGGAUGCCUUGGCGAUCACAGGCGAUGAAGGACGCGGUAGCCUGCGAAAAGCCCCGGGGAGCUGGCAAACAAGCUUUGAUCCGGGGAUGUCCGAAUGGGGAAACCCACUCCGUAUGGAGUAUCCAUGACUGAAUACAUAGGUCAUGUGAAGCGAACGCGGUGAACUGAAACAUCUAAGUAACCGCAGGAAAAGAAAUCAACCGAGAUUCCCAAAGUAGUGGCGAGCGAAAUGGGAUGAGCCUUGUACUCUUUAUUUGUAUUGUUAGCCGAACGCUCUGGAAAGUGCGGCCAUAGCAGGUGAUAGCCCUGUAGGCGAAAACAGUAUGAAAGAACUAGGUGUACGACAAGUAGGGCGGGACACGUGAAAUCCUGUCUGAAGAUGGGGGGACCAUCCUCCAAGGCUAAAUACUCGUGAUCGACCGAUAGUGAACCAGUACCGUGAGGGAAAGGCGAAAAGAACCCCGGGAGGGGAGUGAAAUAGAUCCUGAAACCGCAUGCAUACAAACAGUCGGAGCCUCGUAAGGGGUGACGGCGUACCUUUUGUAUAAUGGGUCAGCGACUUACGUUCAGUAGCAAGCUUAACCGUAUAGGGCAGGCGUAGCGAAAGCGAGUCCGAAUAGGGCGUUCAGUUGCUGGGCGUAGACCCGAAACCAGGUGAUCUAUCCAUGGCCAGGAUGAAGGUGCGGUAACACGUACUGGAGGUCCGAACCCACUAACGUUGAAAAGUUAGGGGAUGAGCUGUGGAUAGGGGUGAAAGGCUAAACAAACCUGGAAAUAGCUGGUUCUCUCCGAAAACUAUUUAGGUAGUGCCUCGUGUCUCACCUUCGGGGGUAGAGCACUGUCAUGGUUGGGGGGUCUAUUGCAGAUUACCCCGCCAUAGCAAACUCCGAAUACCGAAGAGUGCAAUCACGGGAGACAGACAUCGGGUGCUAACGUCCGGUGUCAAGAGGGAAACAACCCAGACCGCCAGCUAAGGUCCCCAAAUAUGGCUAAGUGGGAAACGAAGUGGGAAGGCUAAAACAGUCAGGAGGUUGGCUUAGAAGCAGCCACCCUUUAAAGAAAGCGUAAUAGCUCACUGAUCGAGUCGUCCUGCGCGGAAGAUGUAACGGGGCUAAGCCAUAUACCGAAGCUGCGGAUGCGUGCUUGCACGCAUGGUAGGAGAGCGUUCCGUAAGCCUGCGAAGGUGUCUUGUAAAGGAUGCUGGAGGUAUCGGAAGUGCGAAUGCUGACAUGAGUAGCGAUAAAGGGGGUGAAAGGCCCCCUCGCCGUAAGCCCAAGGUUUCCUACGCAACGUUCAUCGGCGUAGGGUGAGUCGGCCCCUAAGGCGAGGCAGAAAUGCGUAGCUGAUGGGAAGCAGGUCAAUAUUCCUGCACCGUCGUUAGAUGCGAUGGGGGGACGGAUCGCGGAAGGUUGUCCGGGUGUUGGACGUCCCGGUCGCUGCAUUGGAGAAGGCGCUUAGGCAAAUCCGGGCGCAGGAUUCAAGGGUGUGGCGCGAGCGACUUCGGUCGCGAAGCAAUUGGAAGUGGUUCCAAGAAAAGCCUCUAAGCUUCAGUCUAACGAUGACCGUACCGCAAACCGACACAGGUGGGCGAGAUGAGUAUUCUAAGGCGCUUGAGAGAACUCGGGAGAAGGAACUCGGCAAAUUGGUACCGUAACUUCGGGAUAAGGUACGCCCUUGUAGCUUGACUGGCCUGCGCCAGGAGGGUGAAGGGGUUGCAAUAAACUGGUGGCUGCGACUGUUUAAUAAAAACACAGCACUCUGCAAACACGAAAGUGGACGUAUAGGGUGUGACGCCUGCCCGGUGCCGGAAGAUUAAAUGAUGGGGUGCAAGCUCUUGAUUGAAGUCCCGGUAAACGGCGGCCGUAACUAUAACGGUCCUAAGGUAGCGAAAUUCCUUGUCGGGUAAGUUCCGACCUGCACGAAUGGCGUAACGAUGGCCACACUGUCUCCUCCCGAGACUCAGCGAAGUUGAAGUGUUUGUGAUGAUGCAAUCUACCCGCGGCUAGACGGAAAGACCCCAUGAACCUUUACUGUAGCUUUGCAUUGGACUUUGAACCGAUCUGUGUAGGAUAGGUGGGAGGCUAUGAAACCGGAACGCUAGUUUCGGUGGAGCCGUCCUUGAAAUACCACCCUGGUUUGUUUGAGGUUCUAACCUUGGUCCGUGAUCCGGAUCGGGGACAGUGCAUGGUAGGCAGUUUGACUGGGGCGGUCUCCUCCCAAAGGGUAACGGAGGAGUACGAAGGUACGCUAGGUACGGUCGGAAAUCGUGCUGAUAGUGCAAUGGCAUAAGCGUGCUUAACUGCGAGACCGACAAGUCGAGCAGGUGCGAAAGCAGGUCAUAGUGAUCCGGUGGUUCUGUAUGGAAGGGCCAUCGCUCAACGGAUAAAAGGUACUCUGGGGAUAACAGGCUGAUACCGCCCAAGAGUUCAUAUCGACGGCGGUGUUUGGCACCUCGAUGUCGGCUCAUCUCAUCCUGGGGCUGUAGCCGGUCCCAAGGGUAUGGCUGUUCGCCAUUUAAAGAGGUACGUGAGCUGGGUUUAAAACGUCGUGAGACAGUUUGGUCCCUAUCUGCCGUGGGCGUUGGAUAUUUGAAGGGGGCUGCUCCUAGUACGAGAGGACCGGAGUGGACGAACCUCUGGUGUACCGGUUGUGACGCCAGUCGCAUCGCCGGGUAGCUAUGUUCGGAAGAGAUAACCGCUGAAAGCAUCUAAGCGGGAAACUCGCCUUAAGAUGAGAUAUCCCUGGAGGCUUGACCUCCUUGAAGGGUCGUUCGAGACCAGGACGUUGAUAGGUCGGGUGUGUAAGCGCAGUAAUGCGUUCAGCUAACCGAUACUAAUUGCCCGUAAGGCUUGAUCCU
Molecule: ribosomal RNA, 2881 nt
Filed under: Burkholderia multivorans
Lineage: Bacteria; Pseudomonadati; Pseudomonadota; Betaproteobacteria; Burkholderiales; Burkholderiaceae
Description: 23S ribosomal RNA
Rfam family: Bacterial large subunit ribosomal RNA
Source: RNAcentral